Molecule: ribosomal RNA, 366 nt
Filed under: uncultured eukaryote
Lineage: Eukaryota
Description: partial 18S ribosomal RNA
Rfam family: Eukaryotic small subunit ribosomal RNA
Source: RNAcentral
CAAUAGCGUAUAUUAAAGUUGUUGCAGUUAAAAAGCUCGUAGUUGAAUUUCUGGUGGGCGCGCCGGUCUUCCAAGUGUUGUACUGGGCGCAGUUCGCCAUCCUUGUGGAGAGGGCUCGCAUUGAGUUGCGUGUCGGAUCUGCAUCAUUUACUGUGAAAAAAUUAGAGUGUUUAAAGCAGGCUGUCGCUUGAAUACAUUAGCAUGGAAUAAUAAGAUAGGACUUCGGUCUAUUUUGUUGGUUGCGAACCGAGGUAAUGAUUAAUAGGGAUAGUUGGGGGUAUUCAUAUUUAAUUGUCAGAGGUGAAAUUCUUGGAUUUAUGAAAGAUGAACAACUGCGAAAGCAUUUACCAAGGAUGUUUNCAUUAA